Molecule: ribosomal RNA, 251 nt
Filed under: uncultured prokaryote
Description: partial 16S rRNA
Rfam family: Bacterial small subunit ribosomal RNA
Source: RNAcentral
ACGUAGGUCCCAAGCGUUAUCCGGAUUUACUGGGCGUAAAGUGUCCGUAGCCUGGUAUACAAGUCAGUUUUCAAAUCCCACGACUCAAUCGUGGAAAGGGAAUAGAUACUGUAUACCUGGAGAAUAUUGGAGGUUAGUGGAAUUUCCGGUGUAGCGGUGAAAUGUGUUGAUAUCGGAAAGAACGCCGAAAGCGAAAGCAGCUAACUAUGAUAUUUCUGACGGUAAUGGACGAAAGCUUGAGUAGCAAACGG